Molecule: ribosomal RNA, 638 nt
Filed under: Calonarius osmophorus
Lineage: Eukaryota; Fungi; Basidiomycota; Agaricomycetes; Agaricales; Cortinariaceae
Description: eukaryotic LSU rRNA
Rfam family: 5.8S ribosomal RNA (bases 262-415)
Source: RNAcentral
AGGAUCAUUAUUGAAAUGAACCUGAUAAGUUGCUGCUGGUUCUCUAGGGAGCAUGUGCACGCUUGUCAUCUUUAUAUCUUCACCUGUGCACCUUUUGUAGACCUGAAUAUCUUUCUGAAUGCUUUUUUUAUUUUAGCACUCAGGAUAUGGAAUUGGCUUUGAUGUCUCUUCUUAUAUUUUCAGGUCUAUGUUUCUUCAUAUACCCUAAUGUAUGUUAUAGAAUGUCAUUUAAUGGGCUUUUUAUGCCUUUAAAUCUAUUACAACUUUCAGCAACGGAUCUCUUGGCUCUCGCAUCGAUGAAGAACGCAGCGAAAUGCGAUAAGUAAUGUGAAUUGCAGAAUUCAGUGAAUCAUCGAAUCUUUGAACGCACCUUGCGCUCCUUGGUAUUCCGAGGAGCAUGCCUGUUUGAGUGUCAUUAAUAUUAUCAACCUCUUUGGUUGGAUUUGGGUUUACUGGCCUUGUUGAGGUCAGCUCUCCUUAAAUGCAUUAGCAGACAACAUUUUGUCAACCGUUCAUUGGUGUGAUAAUUAUCUACGCUAUUGAUCGUGAAGGCAGGGUUCAGCUUCUAACAGUCCAUUGGCUUGGACAAAUUUUAUUAAUGUGACCUCAAAUCAGGUAGGACUACCCGCUGAACUUAA